GACGAACGCUGGCGGCGUGCCUAAUACAUGCAAGUAGAACGCACAGUUUAUACCGUAGCUUGCUACACCAUAGACUGUGAGUUGCGAACGGGUGAGUAACGCGUAGGUAACCUGCCUGGUAGCGGGGGAUAACUAUUGGAAACGAUAGCUAAUACCGCAUAAUAUUAAUUAUUGCAUGAUAAUUAAUUGAAAGGUGCAAUUGCACCACUACCAGAUGGACCUGCGUUGUAUUAGCUAGUAGGUGAGGUAACGGCUCACCUAGGCGACGAUACAUAGCCGACCUGAGAGGGUGAUCGGCCACACUGGGACUGAGACACGGCCCAGACUCCUACGGGAGGCAGGAGUAGGGAAUCUUCGGCAAUGGACGAAAGUCUGACCGAGCAACGCCGCGUGAGUGAAGAAGGGUUUCGGAUCGUAAAGCUCUGUUGUAAGAGAAGAACGGGUGUGAGAGUGGAAAGUUCACACUGUGACGGUAUCUUACCAGAAAGGGACGGCUAACUACGUG
RNAcentral lists this ribosomal RNA (505 nucleotides) under uncultured bacterium. RNAcentral describes it as "partial 16S ribosomal RNA". It matches the Rfam family "Bacterial small subunit ribosomal RNA", at positions 28 to 507 of the family's 1533-position model. The record is from RNAcentral.